UGCAAGUCGAACGGGGUGGGGGGCAACUCCCAUUCAGUGGCGAACGGGUGAGUAAUGCAUCGGAACGUAUCCCGUAGUGGGGGACAACGCCGCGAAAGCGGCGCUAAUACCGCAUAUGCUCUACGGAGGAAAGUGGGGGACCUGCAAGGGCCUCACGCUAUGGGAGCGGCCGAUGUCCGAUUAGCUAGUUGGUGGGGUAAUGGCCCACCAAGGCGACGAUCGGUAGCUGGUCUGAGAGGAUGAUCAGCCACACUGGGACUGAGACACGGCCCAGACUCCUACGGGAGGCAGCAGUGGGGAAUUUUGGACAAUGGGGGCAACCCUGAUCCAGCCAUGCCGCGUGCGGGAAGAAGGCCUUCGGGUUGUAAACCGCUUUUAGUCGGGAAGAAAAGGCCAAGGCUAAUACCCUUGGUUCGUGACGGUACCGGCGGAAUAAGCACCGGCUAACUACGUGCCAGCAGCCGCGGUAAUACGUAGGGUGCGAGCGUUAAUCGGAAUUACUGGGCGUAAAGCGUGCGCAGGCGGUUCGUCAAGUCUGAUGUGAAAGCCCCGGGCUCAACCUGGGAAUGGCAUUGGAAACUGGCGAGCUGGAGUGCGGCAGAGGGGGGUGGAAUUCCGCGUGUAGCAGUGAAAUGCGUAGAGAUGCGGAGGAACACCGAUGGCGAAAGCAGCCCCCUGGGCCGACACUGACGCUCAGGCA
Molecule: ribosomal RNA, 700 nt
Filed under: uncultured bacterium
Lineage: Bacteria
Description: bacterial SSU rRNA
Rfam family: Bacterial small subunit ribosomal RNA
Source: RNAcentral